RNAcentral lists this ribosomal RNA (253 nucleotides) under uncultured bacterium. Its description in RNAcentral is "partial 16S ribosomal RNA". It matches the Rfam family "Bacterial small subunit ribosomal RNA", at positions 524 to 776 of the family's 1533-position model. The record is from RNAcentral.
UACGUAGGUGACAAGCGUUGUCCGGAUUUACUGGGCGUAAAGAGCGCGCAGGCGGUCGUUCAAGUCGAGUGUGAAAGCCCCCGGCUCAACUGGGGAGGGUCACUCGAUACUGAUCGACUCGAAGGCAGGAGAGGGAAGUGGAAUUCCCGGUGUAGUGGUGAAAUGCGUAGAUAUCGGGAGGAACACCAGUGGCGAAGGUGACUUCCUGGCCUGUUCUUGACGCUGAGGCGCGAAAGCUAGGGGAGCAAACGGG